Long non-coding RNA from Culicoides brevitarsis, 1586 nucleotides. RefSeq lists it as uncharacterized. The record is from RefSeq and is a predicted model, not a curated record. Lineage: Eukaryota; Metazoa; Arthropoda; Insecta; Diptera; Ceratopogonidae. The transcript has 4 exons.
AAGUAUUUUGUUCUUUAGUCCAAUAACUUUUGAAAAGAUCGGAGGCAGAUAAAAAAAAACAGUAAGAAAAUGGAUUGCUUAGCUUCAUUACCAAAAGUUAAAACAAAUGGCUGCAAUUUCAUUACAUUUAGAACUGGAACAACAAUUUUUAGUAUACUGCAUUUGAUAUUUUAUAUUACAAUAGGCGUUUUUUUGUAUGAUUUAGAUCCAAAUAUGAAUUUUCCAAUCAUUUGUAUUUUUACAAUUGCUAGUGUAAGUGCACUUUGCGCAAUCAUAGGUGCAAUUUCGGAACGGUCUCUUUUGAUUGAAAUUUACGUCGUAUUUGGUUUGAUAUCUAUUUUGAUUCUUAGUUUGAUGACAGUUAGUGCUGCGUUUAUUUCGUUCUACUUUUUCGUGUUGCAACUUACGCUGCUCAUUUUCUUCGUAUACAGCAUUCUUUUUAUGAACUCGUACUCGUAUCAGCUGAUAACAAGCAAGGUACCCGAGCCCACACGGAUACAAUCUAAUGAGAACAUUUAAGCAAGGUACACUACUCUCUCCUGAAAAAUGUAUAACGUAUGCUGUUUUCUGAUAAAUAUAUUGUGUCACGGUCUACAAAAUAGAAGAAUAGAUGUUUCUAUUGUAGAAAACAUUACACAUUUCUCUUCUUUGUAAUAUACAGCUGCUGAUUGUGAGUCCAAAACUGUAUGGAAACUCAUGUAAAAAUUUACUUUGUGUCCGAUAGCAAGUGUCUGCGCGCUGUUCACUUGCUAUUUAUUUCUUCUAUUGUAUAUUUCUCUAAAACUUUUACUAGUUACUGUCUCAAAAGGAAAAUAAUAAAAUAAUUUGUAAAAAAACACAAAAAUAUAAAGAAAAAUAAUACUAUAUUGUUUCAUUGAUGAUAUUGUUGUGCUUUUGUCCAUAUCUAGUAAUAAUAAAUAUUAAAAAUAUUUAAAAUUAGAAAUAUGUGCUCGGUUCCACCCUUGCCUAUCGUCAAGCCGUGUUGGUGUAUCACUUUGCAAGUUGGAAGUAUCCUCUUAGGAGUUGCCCAGGUCUUAGGUGGUGCAUCAAUCAUUAUGGUCUACGUAACAGGACAACGAGAACUCGUUGAUAUUAAACUGCCGUCAGGCAAAUAUGAAGUGCAUAUUUUUGUCCAUCUAUUAGAGCUAAUGACCUCAAUAGUUGUUUGUACAGUUGGAAUUGUGGGCAUUUUAGCAGCUCUUUUUAAAAGCCGUUUACUGAUAAGAGUUCAAAUGGAAAUACUGUGGAAACUAAAUCUGCUUAUGACUUUUGCAAUUUUAGUGAUGACUUUUGCAAUACCAUUAGCCGAUUGUCAUUUUUUCUUACUAUUUUGUCUGGUGCUCUCUAUCCUUGCUUUCAACAUGUAUGUAUUGACAGUCUUUAGUAGCUACUAUUUGCAGCUAAAAGAGCUACGGGCUACUACAAUAUGCGUCUGAGUUGGUGUUCUAUCUACUGUAGUAUAUAUAGUAAUACGAAAAUAGAGAUGUUAUAGCGAAACAAAAGAGAAAAGAGAUUUUUAUCAAUGUGCCACACACACUCAAAUGAAGCUCGCGUAUUUUGUUUUAUUUUUUGAAACAUGGAUGUGU